GGCCGCGGGAAUUCGAUUAGAGUUUGAUCAUGGCUCAGGAUGAACGCUGGCGGUAUGCCUUACACAUGCAAGUCGAACGGAAAUUAGCUUCGGUUAAUUUUAGUGGCGGACGGGUGAGUAACACGUGAGAAUUCGCCUUUAGGAGGGUGAUAACGGAUGGAAACAUUCGCUAAAACCCCAUAUGCCCCCGGGUGAAAAAGAGGAGAUAAGUAAAACUGAAUCACCUCUGCCUGAAGAGAAGCUCGCGGCUGAUUAGCUAGUUGGUAGGGUAAAGGCCUACCAAGGCGACGAUCAGUAGCUGGUCUGAGAGGACGAUCAGCCACACUGGAACUGAGACACGGUCCAGACUCCUACGGGAGGCAGCAGUGAGGAAUUUUCUGCAAUGGGCGCAAGCCUGACAGAGCAAUACCGCGUGAGGGAUGAAGACUUACUGAGUUGUAAACCUCGGUGCCUUAAGGAAGAAGAUCUGACGGUACUUAAGGUGGAAAGCAUCGGCUAACUCCGUGCCAGCAG
This 513-nucleotide ribosomal RNA is filed under the name uncultured bacterium. RNAcentral describes it as "partial 16S ribosomal RNA". It matches the Rfam family "Bacterial small subunit ribosomal RNA", at positions 1 to 514 of the family's 1533-position model. The record is from RNAcentral.